AAAGCACCCAAAGGGAAAAAAUAUAUAUCUCAGGAUGAACAUCAGAAUCUUGAGCUUCAAGACUCAGUCUCAAAGACACAAGUACGAGCCCAGAAGCACAAACCAUCUACAGGAGAAAUAUAUACUUCUCUCGAUGAACAUCA
This is a long non-coding RNA of Sorex araneus (European shrew), 143 nucleotides long. RefSeq lists it as uncharacterized. NCBI's taxonomy places the organism in Eukaryota, Metazoa, Chordata, Mammalia, Eulipotyphla, Soricidae. The transcript has 3 exons. The record is from RefSeq and is a predicted model, not a curated record.